GUAGGAUCAAGGCCAAGCCCCUAUAUCAGUCAUUAAACAUUUAGGUCUACUUUUAAAGUCAAUCCUGUUUCUAAUACAGUGAAAUGCCACGAGUGAGUGACUGAAUCCUUUCUACUCAUUAUUUUGUGAGGACCAGAGUUCACGCCAUAUGUGUUAGUACACUCCACACUGACCUGUAAGAGGCAUAAAUAUAGAGCUCUGGUUUCCCACAUAGCUGCAAUACCUGUCUCCUGUAAUCUUCACCAAAAUGACCCUGUCUUCUUGGUGUCUUAAGACUUCCCCAUAACCAUAUCCCUGGACUCUUCCCAUGAGCUCAGAAUUAUUGCUUCUCUGGUUCUCCUAAGCCUCUGCUUCAUCCUGUAUCCUCAGCAUCUUCCCUUACAGUGAUAAUUUGACUUUAUCCUGCUUUUUAAUUCAAGUAUUUGCUCAUAUUCUCACAUUUACCUCUUUUACCGGACAGGUGAGCAAGAGGUUGUGCGCGCAAGGCCACGGCUGGAGCUGCAUGCCCACCAAAGCCACAGCUGAAGACUGCUGGUGUAUUCCUUUGGAGCCCAAAAGUAUAUCAAUUUCAUGGCACAAAGGUUCAUCUUUCUACUACAGUGAACCAGUCCACUUAGAAAAAGGAUCAUCUCAUGAAGAUGAGAACAUGGAUCAGCCAGGCACUUUCAAAACAAAGAACCAAACCAAACUAUUGUGAGUGAUGAGCAAGAACUGGUCCUUAGUAAAAAUGUUUUACAAAACCUGUUAAUAAGAAAAAUUCCACACAAAAGGUAGAGGUUUUGACUUUUAAAGGGAAACACAGAAGCACAAAUAACAAAGACAGUUGUUGGUUAACAAAUUUCAGUCUCAUAUUUCUGGAACUUAGUCAAGGGAGAAUACCCUGGUAGAAAUAAGCCAGUAAACAUGAGUGGAAUAUUUAAUUUAUUGUUUUCCACAUAUUGGAAACUAAAGGAAUUCUAGUAAUAGUUGUAAUUUUUUCUAGUGGAAGGGAGAAAAGUUACAUUGAGAGUAUCAUGGAAGAGAAAAAAAUGUUCAUUUAAUGGAACUGUUAUGUAAUUUGAAAUAAUGCAUUGUUGCAUUUGACCUACAUCCCAGCUCUUGCUGAUGUUGAGGUGAGGGGGUU
Molecule: long non-coding RNA, 1123 nt
Filed under: Cyanistes caeruleus (blue tit)
Lineage: Eukaryota; Metazoa; Chordata; Aves; Passeriformes; Paridae
Description: lncRNA (ENSCCEG00000016108.1)
Source: RNAcentral